Molecule: ribosomal RNA, 410 nt
Filed under: uncultured bacterium
Lineage: Bacteria
Description: bacterial SSU rRNA
Rfam family: Bacterial small subunit ribosomal RNA
Source: RNAcentral
GUGCCAGCAGCCGCGGUAAUACGGAGGGUGCAAGCGUUAUCCGGAUUCAUUGGGUUUAAAGGGUGCGCAGGCGGAUACUUAAGUCAGUGGUGAAAUCCCGGGGCUCAACCCCGGAACUGCCAUUGAUACUGAAUAUCUGGAAUACGGUUGAAGUGGGCGGAAUGUAGCAUGUAGCGGUGAAAUGCAUAGAGAUGCUACAGAACACCGAUCGCGAAGGCAGCUCACUAAGCCGAUAUUGACGCUCAGGCACGAAAGCGUGGGGAGCGAACAGGAAUAGAUACCCUGGUAGUCCACGCCGUAAACGAUGAUAACUCGUUGUUGGCGACACACAGUCAGCGACUAAGCGAAAGCGAUAAGUUAUCCACCUGGGGAGUACGAUCGCAAAGGUUGAAACUUAAAUGAAUUGGCGG